Molecule: long non-coding RNA, 581 nt
Filed under: Gallus gallus (chicken)
Lineage: Eukaryota; Metazoa; Chordata; Aves; Galliformes; Phasianidae
Source: RNAcentral
GCAGCAUCUACCAGGUGGGACCAGUCUAGCCCUGUGGCAGUGUCUGGCAGGGGCAUCAGGCCAGGAUCAUUGAAUUUGGCUUUAUCAGAUAAGGACCCAUCUGAGAACCAGAAUUCAUUUCUCAGAUUUCCCAUUCCAGGUGUCAGGCUCAUUCUGGGAGGCAACGUGCUGUGAUACGGUGGAGUAGUGCUGAAUAAGAUAUCAUUUGGGAGAGCCUGGUCUAGCAUUGAACUUCGAGAGCUGGCGUAUGAAGAUCCUCUUCGAUUGCUACAUAUACUUUCAUCUGACAGGGUACGAUAAAGUGUCCUCCGUGGAGAAAGAUUUCCAUAAAAUGAAAACUUUCUUCUCCCCUCCUCCACAGAGAUGUUUUCUGGAAGCAUCAGCUUCAGAAAAUCUUCUUUGGACAACACUUGCUGGCUUUCAACAAUGGCAUUCCUCACAGAAGUUUGAAGCGGACUUGAUGCAGACACAGCAUCUAUAUCAUCGUAUACUUCGUGGCAUUCAGAAAUUUCAGAUUCUUCAGGUGUAGGACUUCCUUCUGAUUUCUUCCACCCAAUGACGUAUUUACUCACUGCUCCUUG